Molecule: long non-coding RNA, 233 nt
Filed under: Vigna radiata
Lineage: Eukaryota; Viridiplantae; Streptophyta; Magnoliopsida; Fabales; Fabaceae
Description: long non-coding RNA (VRAD_LNC011465)
Source: RNAcentral
UGGGGCUAUAUAUAAGCCCAAAAAGAUAACAGAGAGAUUACAUAAUCUAGCUAAUAAAAAAAGGCAACCGCCCAGGCGCCUAAGUUCACCGCUCAGCGGUUUCCCUCUUGCCGUUUUGACUGCUCAACGGUUAGUUUUGCCGUUGAGCGGUUUCCCUCUAAUCGCUCUGAGCGCUCAGCGGUCCAUUCUGGCGCUCAAUGACUCACUUGACCCUUCUGUUCAUCAUUUUUCUU